CACAGCAGAGCCGACAGCCUAGCCCUCGCUGGGCUGAUAUCACUGACAGCUAAGCACGCUGCACCUUUGAUUCUAUAUAGUAUGAGUCACAAAAAUAUACACGGAAACGAUCCAGCUUCCAGAGGUUGAGCCUGCUC
RNAcentral lists this ribosomal RNA (137 nucleotides) under Symbiodinium sp. CCMP2430. Its description in RNAcentral is "partial Archaeal small subunit ribosomal RNA". Lineage: Eukaryota; Dinophyceae; Suessiales; Symbiodiniaceae. The record is from RNAcentral.